GUGCCAGACUCCUACGGGAGGCAGCAGUGGGGGAUAUUGCACAAUGGGGGAAACCCUGAUGCAGCGACGCCGCGUGGGUGAAGAAGCGCCUCGGCGCGUAAAGCCCUGUCAGCAGGGAAGAAAAUGACGGUACCUGAAGAAGAAGCCCCGGCUAACUACGUGCCAGCAGCCGCGGUAAUACGUAGGGGGCAAGCGUUAUCCGGAUUUACUGGGUGUAAAGGGGGCGCAGACGGCGAUGCAAGCCAGGAGUGAAAGCCCGGGGCCCAACCCCGGGACUGCUCUGGAAACUGCGUCGCUGGAGUACGGGAGGGGCAGGCGGAAUUCCUGGUGUAGCGGUGAAAUGCGUAGAUAUCAGGAGGAACACCGGUGGCGAAGGCGGCUUACUGGACCAUGACUGACGUUGAGGCUCGAAAGCGUGGGGAGCGAACAGGAUUAGAUACCCGCGUAC
This 448-nucleotide ribosomal RNA is filed under the name uncultured bacterium. Its description in RNAcentral is "bacterial SSU rRNA". It matches the Rfam family "Bacterial small subunit ribosomal RNA", at positions 328 to 793 of the family's 1533-position model. The record is from RNAcentral.